RNAcentral lists this ribosomal RNA (292 nucleotides) under uncultured bacterium. RNAcentral's name for it is "partial 16S ribosomal RNA". It matches the Rfam family "Bacterial small subunit ribosomal RNA", at positions 773 to 1060 of the family's 1533-position model. The record is from RNAcentral.
GUGGAUUAGAUACCCCGGUAGUCCUGGCCCUAAACGGUGCGCGUUUGCUGUGAGCGGAAUCGACCCUGCUCGUGGCGGAGUUAACACGUUAAACGCGCCGCCUGGGAAGUACGGCCGCAAGGUUAAAACUCAAAGAAAUUGACGGGGGCCUGCACAAGCGGUGGAGUAUGUGGCUCAAUUCGAUGCAACGCGAAGAACCUUACCUGGCCUUGACAUGCAAGUAGUAGAAGGAUGAAAGUCUGACGAUCCCGCAAGGGAAGCUUGCACAGGUGCUGCACGGCCGUCGACAGCU